Fragaria vesca subsp. vesca is the source of this 2066-nucleotide RNA transcript. It is a transcript of the gene named probable receptor-like protein kinase At1g11050-like, with no coding region annotated. The record is from RefSeq and is a predicted model, not a curated record. The transcript has 2 exons. NCBI's taxonomy places the organism in Eukaryota, Viridiplantae, Streptophyta, Magnoliopsida, Rosales, Rosaceae.
UCAGCUAUGUCCUUAGAAUCCCCUUCAACUCCUCCACAUGCCAAAACUUCAAAGGCCCUCCCAAAACCCCCCAAAUGGACAUCACCCAGAUCCCAUGUUGCCAAACCCUCUUGUCCCUCUAUGGAGUUGCCCUUGCCCAACACCUCAAAGAAACCACACUCUUCCAGCUCCCCAACCUCUCCACCUCAAACUCAUGCCUCGUCAACUUCCAGUCCAAGCUCACCUCCCUCUCCCUCCCUCCCUCUUUGGUCUCCUACUGCUUUGACCCUUCCCAGUUUGUCAUCACCCCCAACAUCUGCGCCCACAUCGAGUCCUCCCAAGACUGGCUCCUCCAAGCUCAACGGCACCACCGCUCUCGACUCUGCCUGCCGCCCUGACCUCACUGAUCUCUCCUCCUGCGACGCCUGCGUCGCCGCCGGCUUCAAGAUUCAGCAGCAGCUCAUCCUCGUUGAUGGUAACUCUUCUCACUCUAGAGACUGUUGGUACUUUACUAUUCUUUAUGCUGCUGGUAUCAUCAAUGAGUUUGGACCUGAGAGCAAUGGCGCUGUGUCUUGCAUUUUCGGUUUGUCAAUGGAUUCUCGUGUGGACUCUCCCAAGAAGAGCAACACAGCUCUUGUUUUCGGCCUCACCGGUGCUGGUGUUGCUGUGUUUGUUAUGUCUAGCUUGUUGGGGUUGUACUUUUGGUAUGACAGGAGGUGGAGGAACAAAAGGGUUGUUGGGUCCAGAAUGGAUUCUGGUUUUGAUUUGGAUGAAAGAGAGUCUAGGAUUAGAGUUAGACCCAACACGGGUUCCAUUUGGUUUAAGAUUCAGGACCUUGAGAAGGCUACUAAUAACUUUUCGCAGAAGAAUUUCAUUGGCCGGGGUGGAUUUGGUCUUGUUUACAAGGGUGUUCUACCCGAUGGAACUACUGUUGCUGUUAAGAAAGUUAUUGAGUCUGAUUUUCAAGGGGAUGCUGAGUUCUGCAAUGAGGUUGAGAUUAUUAGCAAUUUGAAGCAUCGGAAUCUGGUUCCGCUUAGAGGGUGUUGUGUGGUUGAGGGGGAGGACAAUUAUGAAGAGAGGGGAAGUAACAGGUACCUUGUAUAUGAUUACAUGCCGAAUGGAAAUCUGGAUGACCAUCUAUUUCUUUCUCUGUCUAGUAGUCAGAGUGGAAUUGAAAGGAGGCCCUUGACUUGGCCUCAGAGGAAGGGCAUAAUCUUGGAUGUGGCCAAGGGACUAGCUUAUUUGCAUUAUGGAGUGAAGCCUGCAAUAUAUCACCGAGAUAUUAAGGCAACAAACAUACUACUAGAUGCAGAUAUGAGAGCAAGAGUGGCAGAUUUUGGGCUUGCGAAGCAAAGUAUGGAAGGCCAGUCUCAUCUAACAACUCGAGUGGCAGGGACUCAUGGGUACUUGGCCCCUGAAUAUGCUCUUUAUGGACAGCUUACCGAGAAGAGUGAUGUUUAUAGCUUUGGAGUUGUUGUCUUGGAGAUUAUGUGUGGGAGAAAAGCUCUCGAUCUGUCUUCCUUGGGAUCCCCGCAAGCAUUCUUGAUCACGGAUUGGGCUUGGCAAUUAAUAAAAUCUGGAAAAGUUGAAGAGGCCUUAGAAAAAUCACUGUUGAAAGAGGGGGACAGUGUCAAUUCAAAUCCAAAGAGCAUAAUGGAAAGAUUUUUGCUUGUUGGGAUUUUGUGUGCUCAUGUAAUGGUUGCUCUGAGGCCUACUAUUUUGGAUGCACUGAAAAUGUUGGAAGGGGAUAUUGAGGUGCCACCAAUUCCAGAUAGGCCAAUGCCUCUUGGUCACCCUUCAUGUUAUGGCGACGGUAAUACUUUCAGUAUAUCACCAGCUUUGAGCGGACCAAGAUUACAUAGUGGAGACAUGCUCAGGUUUCUCAGAGAGUGAAAAAUAGAGGGGUUAGUUGGAAUGACUAGCCCAUGGUUCUCUCCUGUCAGGUCCAAUUUCGGACCCCCUCACAUGGUUCUCUACUCUUUCUUGUGCCAAACACUAGACUGGAAUGUCCUACAAUCUGAUGAGAGGGUGAUUACAAUAUGGAGUUGCUACUCUUUGCUGAAUGCACCAAAAGGUCUUUAUCUCCA